Molecule: ribosomal RNA, 438 nt
Filed under: uncultured bacterium
Lineage: Bacteria
Description: partial 16S ribosomal RNA
Rfam family: Bacterial small subunit ribosomal RNA
Source: RNAcentral
GAUGAACGCUGGCGGUAUGCUUAACACAUGCAAGUCGAACGCAGACUUUCGGGUCUGAGUGGCGGACGGGUGAGUAACGCGUGAGAAUCUGGCUUCAGGUUGGGGACAACCACGGGAAACGGUGGCUAAUACCCAAUGUGCCGACAAGGUGAAAGAUUAAUUGCCUGAAGAUGAGCUCGCGUCUGAUUAGCGAGUUGGUGGGGUAAGAGCUCACCAAGGCGACGAUCAGUAGCUGGUCUGAGCGGACGAUCAGCCACACUGGGACUGAGACACGGCCCAGACUCCUACGGGAGGCAGCAGUGGGGAAUUUUCCGCAAUGGGCGAAAGUCUGACGGAGCCAUAGCGCGUGAGGGAGGAAGGCUCUUGGGGUGUAAACCUCUUGUCUGAGGGAAGAAGGCAAUGACGGUACCGGAUGAAUCAGCAUCGGCUAACUCCGUG